GUGCUUGCUUUGGCAGCACAUAUACUAAGACUGGAACGAUACAGAGAAGAUUAGCAUAGCCCCUGCACAAGCAUGACAUGCAAAUUUCAUGCUUGAAGUAUUCCAUAUGUAU
This is a small nuclear RNA of Pongo abelii (Sumatran orangutan), 112 nucleotides long. The record is from Ensembl. NCBI's taxonomy places the organism in Eukaryota, Metazoa, Chordata, Mammalia, Primates, Hominidae.